UACGAAGGGGGGCUAGCGUUGUUCGGAUUUACUGGGCGUAAAGCGCACGUAGGCGGAUCGUUAAGUCGGGGGGUGAAAUCCUGGAGCUCAACUCCAGAACUGCCUUCGAUACUGGCGAUCUUGAGUCCGGAAGAGGUGAGUGGAACUCCUAGUGUAGAGGUGGAAUUCGUAGAUAUUAGGAAGAACACCAGUGGCGAAGGCGGCUCACUGGUCCGGUACUGACGCUGAGGUGCGAAAGCGUGGGGAGCAAACAGG
This 255-nucleotide ribosomal RNA is filed under the name uncultured bacterium. Its description in RNAcentral is "partial 16S ribosomal RNA". It matches the Rfam family "Bacterial small subunit ribosomal RNA", at positions 524 to 776 of the family's 1533-position model. The record is from RNAcentral.